Molecule: long non-coding RNA, 678 nt
Organism: Vidua macroura (Pin-tailed whydah)
Lineage: Eukaryota; Metazoa; Chordata; Aves; Passeriformes; Viduidae
Exons: 3
Source: RefSeq, a predicted model, not a curated record
GGUUGAAGAUCAGACUUCAUAGGCAAGGAUUACUAAAGAGAUUAUUUGAUUAUUUUAUUUUCCUUAUGUACAGAUUUAAAUUUCUUUUUAGUAGUAAACUUCAAUUGUUCAGUUUGUUCAAAAGGUGGUUGAACAGCCCCUCUUUACAGAUGUCACAUUAACGAAGCCUGGGAGAAGCCUCUGUUUUCUUUUAGAGGAGAAGAUGAAGCAAAGUGCUCUGUUCUCUCAAGAGGCAUUGGAAAUGACAUCUGAGUCUUUGCAGCACAGAUUUAAUCAAAAUUAGUCUUGCAGAUUAGAAGCUGUUGUGGUUUGACACUGGCCAAACACCAGGCACCCACGGAAGCCACUCGCUCACCCACCCCUGCCACAGCUGGGCAGAGGAGAGAACAUUGAACAGAGGGUCCAUGAGUUGAGAUAAUGACCCGAAGAAAACACUCCAGGGGCAAACCAGGCUCAUCUUAGAGAUGCUUGCAGCCUCCUGAUAUGAUAUGCUGUUACUCUGCAUGGACAGACACCAGAGGCCUGAAGAGCUAUGGCAUUACUCUGCAUGGGCAGAUGCCUGAAGCCUUCUCAAGAGGCAAAGAAAGGAAGGACAGAAAUAAAGACAGAAGAGAGAGAAAGAGAAGAAUAUCACCAGUCCUUAGAUACUGCAUUGGUUCUGCCACAUGGAUGUCCAGA